GGAGAAAAGUAGGGGAUCGCAAGACCUUGCGCUUUUGGAGCGGCCGAUGCCUGAUUAGCUUGUUGGUAAGGUAAAAGCUUACCAAGGCUUCGAUCAGUAGCUGGUCUGAGAGGACGACCAGCCACACUGGGACUGAGACACGGCCCAGACUCCUACGGGAGGCAGCAGUGGGGAAUUUUGGACAAUGGGGGCAACCCUGAUCCAGCCAUGCCGCGUGAGUGAAGAAGGCCUUCGGGUUGUAAAGCUCUUUCAGCCGGAACGAAACGGUUACGGUUAAUACCCGUGACUACUGACGGUACCGGAAGAAGAAGCACCGGCUAACUACGUGCCAGCAGCCGCGGUAAUACGUAGGGUGCGAGCGUUAAUCGGAAUUACUGGGCGUAAAGCGUGCGCAGGUGGUUUUGUAAGUCAGAUGUGAAAGCCCCGGGCUCAGCCUGGGAACUGCGUUUGAAACUACAAAGCUAG
Molecule: ribosomal RNA, 465 nt
Filed under: uncultured bacterium
Lineage: Bacteria
Description: bacterial SSU rRNA
Rfam family: Bacterial small subunit ribosomal RNA
Source: RNAcentral